UACGUAGGGACCAAGCGUUGUUCGGAUUUACUGGGCGUAAAGGGCGCGUAGGCGGGCAGGUAAGUCCGUGGUGAAAUCUCUGAGCUUAACUCAGAAACUGCCAUGGAUACUAUUUGUCUUGAAUAUUGUGGAGGUAAGCGGAAUAUGUCAUGUAGCGGUGAAAUGCUUAGAUAUGACAUAGAACACCAAUUGCGAAGGCAGCUUACUACACAGUUAUUGACGCUGAGGCACGAAAGCGUGGGGAUCAAACAGG
This 253-nucleotide ribosomal RNA is filed under the name uncultured bacterium. RNAcentral describes it as "partial 16S ribosomal RNA". It matches the Rfam family "Bacterial small subunit ribosomal RNA", at positions 524 to 776 of the family's 1533-position model. The record is from RNAcentral.